GCCAUAAUAGAUAGGCUUUAUCACUCACUGCUGGCAAGUUGAUAUCCAGAGAGGGAGGAUGUCCUCCCGGAUGAAGGCUGCCUGCAACACAAAUAACUGUGCCAUCAGUCGAGUUUAUUAAUGUAGCACUUGAUCACAAGAGCAUGAUUUAAACGCAGAGGCUUGCUUGCUCUGACUUGUCCACAGAUAUUUUUAUUUCACAGCCCAACUGGAUAAUUAUCAGGAAGGACGUGUGUGUGUGUGUGUGUGUGUGUGUGUGUGUGUGUGUGUGUGUGUGUGUGUGUGUGCAGUCAGGUAGGAUGAAGUUUAAAUGUCUGAAGAGAUAAAAUAAUUGUUUAGGUUAAACGAUUUGAAGCUACACGUUUAAAAUGGAGCUCGGAUUAUUCAUUUUCAUGCUCAACGCAGAUAUUCAGAGGUGGAGGCAGUAAUGACAUUAAGUUUUUAAUACUGGAGGGAGAAUCUGGAGCAAUGCCUACGAUGCAAGGUCAGGUUUUCUACAAUGUCUUCACAGGCGCCUCUGACACAGGGACACAACGCAUCAACGCAGAGGUGACUGCAGGGAGACUCUAUUUCCCCCAGAAAUGGCGAGUUCUAUCCUUCACGCCGGUCUCCUCUACUCGUCUGGAGACGCUGUUAGCGGGCGAGAAUGCCAAGCUCUAUUAGUGUCCCAGCACGCACUGCACUAAAGUCUUCACCUUGGCAUGGAGGAGACACAGCAGAGCGGCGCAGGGAUCGGACAACUUAAAGCAGGAGGUCCGGGCCCCGCUGGAGGUGAGGUAAGGAGAGGCGGUUAACUCUUCAGUCACACAGUCGAGCUGUGCUGGCAAAAGGAGAUUACGGCCAGCUGGCAGUGUCUUAAGGGUCAGCCGAGUUUCACACCGCAGCACCAUCUCCAUUAAUGAGACCUGAUGGAGAGCAAAGACUUCCUGCAGGAGCUCUACACGGCAUUAUCUUUAGCUACCACCACCACCACCACCUCCUUACAUUAGCUUUCUCAUUAGCUCCGCCAUUAGAUCCCACAUUAGCAGAGGGCCCAUAUAACUGCCUGGGUGCUUUGUGAAGCUACAUGACAGCAGCAGGAGAGAAACACAACGGAGAGCUUGUUCCUUACCGAUGAAAUUAUCUGUGGAAAGAAUUAAAUAGUAAGAAAAGAAAUGACCCAGAGAAAAUGUUGGGCUCUCAUUUUUUUUUUUAGAAAAAACACAAUUCAGCAUUAAAAGCUGUUGUAUGAUGUUAAGGUAAAAUUAACGCUGGGAAGAUGAGUUAAAGAGAUCUGUUAACAUACUGUAGCACAUACGAUAAUAAGAAACCACAAGGUCACAAAAUAAAUACAUCAGACAUUCUUAUUUUGGCUUGUUU
Molecule: long non-coding RNA, 1359 nt
Filed under: Betta splendens (Siamese fighting fish)
Lineage: Eukaryota; Metazoa; Chordata; Actinopteri; Anabantiformes; Osphronemidae
Description: lncRNA (ENSBSLG00000022591.1)
Source: RNAcentral